RNAcentral lists this long non-coding RNA (1144 nucleotides) under Carica papaya (papaya). RNAcentral describes it as "long non-coding RNA (CPAP_LNC012595)". The record is from RNAcentral. Lineage: Eukaryota; Viridiplantae; Streptophyta; Magnoliopsida; Brassicales; Caricaceae.
UGGCUUCCUCCAUUAUUGGGUCGAUGAGAAAAUGAAAUUCCAAAAUUGAGGACGCAUCUGCCCGUACAUGGGCCGUUGUACAAGAGAUACACGAAGACAUUUAAUGUACCAAACAGAGACUUCCCUUCACGACUACUCUAUUUUGUCUUUCUAUAUUCGGAUAUAAACGUGUACGUAUAUAUAUUCCAAGAACAAUAGAAUUUUAUGUCCCUCUUUUAAUUUUUCUUCUUCAAGUGCCAGGAACAGACUGGAUGGUACCACACAGCACGGACAGCGGCCAUUGUUAGACCCCGGCCAAACAGUCCCAAAACAUGUACCAUGCAAAAACAUGUUAUGUCCAAACCAGCAAUCAGGAUUUCUCAAAUUAAAUCUGUUCGUUCUAAAUACGGAUCACAAAUCUACGAUUGCAUGGUAACAGAUACCGGUAAUCUGAGAGGGAAAGCAAAUUUGAGGAUGGGAUUUUGAGAAUGAGUUUUUAAGUAAAAGAAUUGGGGUUCAAUAAGAGGAAAACCCUGGGAAGCAAGUCAAUUAGAGAAAAAAAAAACCAAAAGAUUUCCUACAAUUAUAAUUUGACAGCUUAUCCACCCUGAAAAGGAUUCUUGGGCUUGUCCGGCUACAAUCUAUGUUUAAGGACCACUCCCCCCCCCCCCCCAGAAAGCGACCUUCAUUUAAGGUAAGCUUUUGGAGUGGCACUUGGCAACCUGCCAGUAUCGUUACGUGUAUUGCCAUUAUGACAAGAAGUCAAUCAUCAUUCAGAAUAAUGCAACUCAUUCAUUCAAAUUCGUUGUAUAGAGCUGAUAGUUUUCAUUUUCGUCUUUACCAUGUGUAAGAGGGAAAAGGAAAGAAAAGAGAGGUCAGAUUUCUUGAACAAUGCAUAAAUUGACACACAUCUGCAAAAUGAUUUAGGUAACAACUCAAACAACAAAGUUCAAAGCAUUUCAUUUACUGGACAAAAAGUUCCAGAGAGAUAGAAAGAGGCUCAUUAAGAUAACCGAGGCCUAAUUAAUAAAUUUAACAUGUCAAAAUGUUCUAACCAAGCAGCAGACCCAGUGUCCACGGGCAUCCAAGCAGGACCCAGUCCACGACAUCCAAGCAGGUCCACCCUAUGACAUCUUCACUCUCGAAAAGUCCAUCUCAGGAUGCU